Carya illinoinensis is the source of this 576-nucleotide long non-coding RNA. RefSeq lists it as uncharacterized. The transcript is spliced from 3 exons. The record is from RefSeq and is a predicted model, not a curated record. Lineage: Eukaryota; Viridiplantae; Streptophyta; Magnoliopsida; Fagales; Juglandaceae.
CUCUAGAAACCCAAGCAAGAAGAAAAGGUUUGGUUUCCUUUGGUUUGCGGUCGGUGGCCUUUGUGUGGAUUUUCCACUGUGAUAGGCAGAUGAAGUUUGAAUAAGGCUGAAAUAUGUUAAUUUUGCUGACCUGCACUAACAGAAAUAACCCCUAUUUUUUGGAUAAGGAAGAUCAGCUGAGCAGCUCUAGGGAAUCGUCAACAUAUACACUGUAUGGAACUUGAAAAUCCAUUUGGGUUUCUCUAACUACACAUGCCCGCAAUCAAUUUUCUGUACAAUCCAAUUGCUUCUUGAUGAAUUCAAAUGCUUGAGAGGAAGAAUAAAGAUUGGGCGGUACGCGGUGGCACUUUAAAAAAGACAGCCGAGUGGUCGGCGAUAAUGGGCUGCAAGUGGGCCCUACUCCGGGUCGAUGGUCCAUUUUAUACAGAGUCCAGACGCUCCUCUUCCCUGCUCCCAACGGAAAGCGUAUAAUACAGCACAAGAAAAAUAUAUGCACGGGCCCACUCUCAGGGCGUGCUACCAUCCAAUUAUUCUGGUCAAUAUGAAAAUAUAGAGUAAUGUUAUUUAUAAUUUUAA